UACGUAGGGGGCAAGCGUUGUCCGGAAUCAUUGGGCGUAAAGAGCGUGUAGGCGGCCCGGUAAGUCCGCUGUGAAAUCUCGAGGCUCAACUUCGAGCUGUCGGUGGAAACUGUCUGGCUAGAGUCCGGAAGAGGAGAAUGGAAUUCCUGGUGUAGCGGUGAAAUGCGCAGAUAUCAGGAAGAACACCCGUGGCGAAGGCGGUUCUCUGGGACGGUACUGACGCUGAGACGCGAAAGCGUGGGGAGCGAACAGG
This 253-nucleotide ribosomal RNA is filed under the name uncultured bacterium. Its description in RNAcentral is "partial 16S ribosomal RNA". It matches the Rfam family "Bacterial small subunit ribosomal RNA", at positions 524 to 776 of the family's 1533-position model. The record is from RNAcentral.